This 378-nucleotide ribosomal RNA is filed under the name uncultured eukaryote. RNAcentral's name for it is "partial 18S ribosomal RNA". It matches the Rfam family "Eukaryotic small subunit ribosomal RNA", at positions 592 to 975 of the family's 1831-position model. The record is from RNAcentral.
CAAUAGCGUAUAUUUAAGUUGUUGCAGUUAAGAAGCUCGUAGUUGGAUUUUGGGUCGGGGGCACCGGUCCGCCGUUCCGGUGUGCACUGGUGGCCCCUUCCUUUCUGCCGGGGACGUGCGUCGCACUUAAUUGGGUGGCGUUCGGAGUCGGCGUUGUUACUUUGAAAAAAUUAGAGUGUUCAAAGCAAGCCAUCGCUCUGAAUACAUUAGCAUGGAAUAACAUGAUAGGACUCCGGUCUUAUUUUGUUGGUUUCCGAGACUGGAGUAAUGAUUAAGAGGGACAGUCGGGGGCAUCCGUAUUUCAUUGUCAGAGGUGAAAUUCUUGGAUUUAUGAAAGACGAACUUCUGCGAAAGCAUUUGCCAAGGAUGUUUUCAUUA